CAACAGAGCCGCUCCCCUCUCCUCGCCCCGCCACCGGGACGGAGAGCGCCCGCCGCUGCAUUUCCGGCGACACCUCGCAGUCAUUCCUGCGGCUUGCGCGCCCUUGUAGACAGCCGGGGCCUUCGUGAGACCGGCAGCGUGCCGUCCCUGGCUGCAGGGCUGCUCUUUGGCAGUCUAGCCGGCCUGGGUGCUUACCAGCUGUCUCAGGAUCCAAGGAACGUUUGGGUUUUCCUAGCUACAUCUGGUACCUUGGCUGGCAUUAUGGGAAUGAGGUUCUACCACUCUGGAAAAUUCAUGCCUGCAGGUUUAAUUGCAGGUGCCAGUUUGCUGAUGGUCGCCAAAGUUGGAGUUAGUAUGUUCAACAGACCCCAUUAGCAGAAGUCAUGUUCCAGCUUAGACUGAUGAAGAAUUAAAAAUCUGCAUCUUCCACUAUUUUCAAUAUAUUAAGAGAAAUAAGUGCAGCAUUUUUGCA
RNAcentral lists this unclassified non-coding RNA (472 nucleotides) under Homo sapiens (human). RNAcentral describes it as "transmembrane protein 14C (ENSG00000284936.2)". The record is from RNAcentral. Lineage: Eukaryota; Metazoa; Chordata; Mammalia; Primates; Hominidae.